GGGGACGCAUGAGAAAAAAAGAGGCGGGAGGGCGCAGAAAGUCCUUAAAGGUGCCGCAUGUGCGGACACCGGGGGCGGGGCCGGCCGGGAAACUGAGGCCGAAAGGAAGUUCCGGUCUGGGCCUCAACGCCACGCCCGCCCGGGGGCUCGCGGCCAGGUCCCUUCCCCUGCAGAGGGCCGACUGCGAGGCCAGUAUGGACUUAACUCUCUGAUUUCAACAUGCUGUGGGACAAGUGCAGACCUAACUCUGAUUUCAACACACUGUGGGGUGAGUGCUGACUUAACUCUGAUUUUAACAUGCUGUGGAGUGAGUGCUGACUUAACUCUGAUUUCAACAUGCUAUGGGGCCAGUGCUGACUUAACUCUGAUUUCAACACGCUGCAGGAUGAGUGCUGACUUAACUCUGAUUUCAACACACUGUGGGGUGAGUGCUGACUUAACUCUGAUUUUAACAUGCUGUGGGGUGAGUGCUGACUUAACUCUGAUUUCAACAUGCUGUGGGACGAGUACUGACUUAACUCUCUGAUUUCAACAUGCUGUGGGACGAGUACUGACUUAACUCUCUGAUUUCAACAUGCUGACGGGUGAGUGCUGACUUAACUCUGAUUUCAAUAUGCUGUGGGGUGAGUGCUGACUUGUCUGAUUUCAAAAUACUGUGGGGCCAGAGCUGACUUAACGCUCUGAUUUCAACACCUGCAGGACAAGGGCUGACUUAACUCUGAUUUCAACACUCUGCGGGCGAGUGCUGGAACUCUCUGAUUUCAACAUGCUGCAAGGCCAGUGCUGAUCUAACUCCCGGAUUUCAACACGCUGCAGGAUGAGUGCUGACUUAACUCUGAUUUCAACAUGCUGCGGGAUGAGUGCUGACUUAACUCUGUGAUUUCAACACGCCGUGGGGCCAGUGCUGACUUAACUCUGAUUUCAACAAGCCACAGGGCUGGUGCUUACUUAACUCUGCUACACUCACUUAUGAAUCAACUCGAAUGAUCUGGAAUGUGUGGAUCCUGUGCACUGUGACAAAAAAUAGACUCACACAGCUGGAAGGACAGCUCAGUGCAGAGUGCACCUCAGAGCAUUAGGCGUAAAAACUCUUACUUCAGAGAAAUCAUGUAUGAAAUGGAAAACAGCCAGUCCAUGUUAGGUUAAAGCAUCACAGAACAGAAAAUUAAACCUGAUUAAUGUCUGUCCCUA
This is a long non-coding RNA of Pongo pygmaeus (Bornean orangutan), 1191 nucleotides long. RefSeq lists it as uncharacterized. NCBI's taxonomy places the organism in Eukaryota, Metazoa, Chordata, Mammalia, Primates, Hominidae. The record is from RefSeq and is a predicted model, not a curated record. The transcript has 2 exons.